Cucumis melo (muskmelon) is the source of this 1614-nucleotide long non-coding RNA. RefSeq lists it as uncharacterized. The record is from RefSeq and is a predicted model, not a curated record. Lineage: Eukaryota; Viridiplantae; Streptophyta; Magnoliopsida; Cucurbitales; Cucurbitaceae. The transcript has 3 exons.
UUCACCAAGAAGGAAAAGAAAAAAAAAAGAAGAAACCCCAGCUCUAAAGCCGCCGCCGCCGCCAUCACCGCCGACCACAGCCCGCCGCGCCAGCCGUCGCGUAUGACUCGAAGUAUGCGAAGCCGCGCAGCCUUGCCGCAAGCCAUGCCUUCCGUCAAGCGUUCACCGCAGGCCAACCCGAGCCGAUAGCCGAGCUGAUCGCCAGCCUGAUUUCUUCCGCGCGCCACCUCCAUCCAUCGUGCUCCAGCCAAACGCCGCCAUCGUGAAGCUCCACCGGUUGCCGCUGUCUCCCUCACCUAUCCCGUCGACCACCCCGAGCAAAUCGUUCGUCGGACCUGCGCUGCCAGCUGCCCGAAUUAUGAAACCUGUGUGCCACGCUUCGUUCACGCGUGAAUUCGACCCGACAGCGUCUCCGCUUCGAACCGAGCGACCCACGUUCACCCGCGUUGAGCCGCACGCAUGUCACGUCGAGCCGCUCGCACGCCGCGUCUGCACCGCUAGCCGAGCCGCAUCCAUCCGCAUUAAGCCUCACGCGCGCAGUGCCUGCGCCCAAGCCGAGCCGUGCUGCACGUUUGUUGGAGCCGAGCCGCGUCGCGUCUCCUUCCUUCCAGUCGAGCGGCCAAACCCUUUUGAGCCACCUAGCUUUUUCGGUCUUUUGCACCUAUUUUGGAACACCUUGGGCCAGUUGAUUUUGAAGCGAUGGAUUUCUUCAAUAAGGGCUCAAGCGUUGCAACCUUGACCCAGGGGCCUCGCUUCUUAGAAAGCGCAUUUUCUUGCUGUUAGGACUCGUUGAGCAAAUCUCCAGGUAAGAGAUUUCUACUACUAGCUCUACGACUAGAAUCAUGAGACCGCAAGCAUUCCUAGUUAUGCACGUUGAGGACUAGACUGUAUAAUGAUAUGUCAAUUAAUGAGGGCAUGAUGUGACUGAUGAUGUGAUUCGAUAUGAUGGUAUGGUAUAAUGUGAUGACGCGGCUUGUUAUGACUUUAUGUUUGGAUAUUGUGAUGAGAUGUGACUUGAUGAUUAGACUGAUAUGAUUACGAGAUGAUGCUAUGUUAUAUGUAUGCUAUGGUUAGGGUACCUGUUAGCUUAACCUAUUAGAGUCGUACCUACAUGGGUGUCCUUCGGAAUCACCACCUAUGUAAGACUGCGUAGUCCGACGGGACCGCCAGUCUGGCAUGGAUAUAUAUAUGAUUCGAGUGAAUCGACGGGAUCCUCGCAGCCUGAUUGUCUUAGCGUUUCCUCUGGGUUCGCUACAGACCAGUAUGUUCUAGGUGCUCCCUCGGGACACCGAAGACCAGAUUCUGUUCCUACGAGAGCGCAUGUUGCACGUGUUCGGGAACGUGCCAAUUAUUGGGUACUAUUUUCAGGACUCUAAUAGGAAGUUAACAGACACCUAGUGGGACUAGUAGUGGGUCCCUUACUGAGUAUUUUAUACUCACUCUUUCCAUGUCACAUUUUUCAGGUAGAGGCAGGGGUAAGGGCAAGGGGAAGCUGGCGGGCGACCAGAAGUGACCGUGGCGACCCAUAUAGAUCUCAGCUUACGCUUACACCCCAGUUUAAACUUUCAGUAUUUGAAUUUUUAUUAUUAUUUAUUUCGUUUCUUCAAAAGUAGA